RNAcentral lists this ribosomal RNA (272 nucleotides) under uncultured prokaryote. Its description in RNAcentral is "partial 16S ribosomal RNA". It matches the Rfam family "Bacterial small subunit ribosomal RNA", at positions 505 to 776 of the family's 1533-position model. The record is from RNAcentral.
GUGUCAGCCGCCGCGGUAAUACGGAGGGGGCUAGCGUUGUUCGGAAUUACUGGGCGUAAAGCGCACGUAGGCGGACCGGAAAGUCAGAGGUGAAAUCCCAGGGCUCAACCUUGGAACUGCCUUUGAAACUAUCGGUCUGGAGUUCGAGAGAGGUGAGUGGAAUUCCGAGUGUAGAGGUGAAAUUCGUAGAUAUUCGGAGGAACACCAGUGGCGAAGGCGGUUCACUGGCUCGAUACUGACGCUGAGGUGCGAAAGCGUGGGGAGCAAACAGG